RNAcentral lists this long non-coding RNA (970 nucleotides) under Chrysolophus pictus (golden pheasant). RNAcentral's name for it is "lncRNA (ENSCPIG00010005859.1)". The record is from RNAcentral. Lineage: Eukaryota; Metazoa; Chordata; Aves; Galliformes; Phasianidae.
CCAUUAUCUGAGAAACAAAACUAAAAGAAUUUGGGUUCAGCUCGCAGCUUCUCUGGGUGAGAACCCUCCCAGCCCGGUGCAGUGAGCAAUGGCUGUACAGGGCAGCAUGUCGGACUACAGUGAGGACUGCCACCCUAAACCCAGGCGACACUGGAAGGUCUAUGGGCUAGUGGUCGUGCUGCUGGUUGUGGUGCUGCUGGCUGCAGCCCUGCCUUCCUAUCUGUGCCUGGUGGCCACCAAACCAGAGCAAGAAACAGGGCUGGGGAUGGGGGCAGGGAGAAUGCCCAAUUUGGAGGGGCUGGCACAGCUGCUGGGGGUGCAGCAGCAGCUGAGGGUGCAGGUGGCUGCAUUGGAGCAAGCAUUGGUUGCCACCAACCAGACCCUCACCACCAUGGUGGAUAUCACCAACCCGUCCCUCGCUGAGAUACUCAAGAAGUGGGAUGACUGCAGGAGUCAAUUGGAUGCCAUGCAGAGCUUUGUUGCGGAUUUGGGGCAGCAGAUCUCCCAGCUGCAGCAGCAGAAGGAAAAGCAGGAGGCUGUGGUCAAGCAACUGCAAGAGGACAACAGGGCGCUCCAGGAGGAGGGGGCAAAGCAGAAGGAGCAGUUGGAGGAGGUGCAGAGGCACAGGAGCAGCUUCCAGGAGCAGAUCCAGGAGCAGAUCCACAAGCUGUCAGCACAGAUCUGGGACAUAUGGAGCAGCAGUUCCAGUGGGAGCACAGCGAUGCCCUCCAGCGCAGCCAUGGCCCUGAGCCUCCUCGUGACGCUGCUCUCUGCAAAGUGGCUGCACUGAGCACAGCAACACAGACCCGGGUGGCCUCUGUCAGUGUGGGGCCAUGGGGAAACCAGGGGGAGAUGGUUUGCCAAGCGCUGGCCCGAGGGGUGAGAUGGGACAAGGCACGUUCAGGGGACAGCGGUGCCACACGGUUCGGUGGGUCUAAACUGAUUUCCAAUAAAACCUCAUGCAAAUCCA